RNAcentral lists this ribosomal RNA (492 nucleotides) under uncultured bacterium. RNAcentral describes it as "partial 16S ribosomal RNA". It matches the Rfam family "Bacterial small subunit ribosomal RNA", at positions 29 to 507 of the family's 1533-position model. The record is from RNAcentral.
AGUGAACGCUGGCGGUAGGCCUAACACAUGCAAGUCGAACGGCAGCACAGUAAGAGCUUGCUCUUACGGGUGUCGAGUGUCGGACGGGUGAGUAAUACAUCGGAAUCUACUUUUUCGUGGGGGAUAACGUAGGGAAACUUACGCUAAUACCGCAUACGACCUACGGGUGAAAGCAGGGGAUCUUCGGACCUUGCGCGAUUGAAUGAGCCGAUGUCGGAUUAGCUAGUUGGCGGGGUAAAGGCCCACCAAGGCCACGAUCCGUAGCUGGUCUGAGAGGGUGAUCCGCCACACUGGAACUGAGAAACGGUACAGACUCUUACGGGAGGACGCAGUGGGGAAUCUUGGACGAUGGGGGAGAGCCGGAUCCAGCAAUACCGCGUGGGUGAAGAAGGACUUCGGGUUGUAAAGCCCUUUUGUUGGGAAAGAAAAGAAGCAGGUUAAUCCCCCGCUGUUCUGACGGUACCCAAAGAAUAAGCACCGGCUAACUUCGUG